This is a non-coding RNA of Arachis ipaensis, 302 nucleotides long. Lineage: Eukaryota; Viridiplantae; Streptophyta; Magnoliopsida; Fabales; Fabaceae. The record is from RefSeq and is a predicted model, not a curated record.
AUAACAGCCAGCUUGAUAGAAAUUUCUUGAUAGGAGAGGUUCCUACAAAUCUUUGUAAGAGAUGAGUUUGGAUAAUGAAGUUGGAGUGUUGGAGCAAGAAACAAAGAUGUUGGAACAAGUUUUCGGGAUGAAACUCACACAAGAGACCAAGAAACUAAGGCAGGCUUCUACUUGUCUUGUAUAUUCAUAUUCUAAGUAGUAAAAACAGCACUUAUUAGAUGGUUUAAAUACAUUAUUAGAUAUUAACAUAGUUUAGGAAACUGGAUGGUAGAUUUGACUGAUUAGUAUUUAUUGCAAUGUUU